This is a long non-coding RNA of Sebastes umbrosus (honeycomb rockfish), 1209 nucleotides long. RefSeq lists it as uncharacterized. The record is from RefSeq and is a predicted model, not a curated record. The transcript has 3 exons. Lineage: Eukaryota; Metazoa; Chordata; Actinopteri; Perciformes; Sebastidae.
ACGAGGGAGGCUGCCCAGGUGUGCCUCGUCACUAUUUCUGUUUUUAGCUGGUGUCUUCAUUCUUUGCUCACUGCAGAGCUGCUUUAUUUAAUGGGCCUUUUUCACAGCAGGAAAUGCAACUAAUAACAUUAACGAUGGUUUCGCUUCAUUGGAGUCCCAGUGAGCUGUGACAGUGAGCCAGCAUGCACAAUAACAGCUCUCUUUCCGUACAGGUGGUGAUGAACACCGGAUCCUCGUCUAUCAAUGGCUCAUGAAGAACCUGGAGACACACGGGCGAUGUUAGUGUACACACAUAACAGCCAUAUGCUGGUUCACCUCCCAGGGUGCCACAGUGCAACACAUGUCACAGGAUGGAUACAGCCAGGAUGGCAUCGCUGUGAUGCUUCAGCUGAGGCAGAAGAGAUGGGAGAGAGGAGGACAAAUCCAAACGAAGCCUGACAGAAGGCGCUGCACCAUAAACCCAGACCCCCACUCCCUGAUGCAUGCUAGUACUUAGUGAUAGAUAAAUGGAUAAAAACUGUUCCGUAGAAGAGACAGACGUUGCAUGUACAUGCUGUCUAGCAGCGGGGGUUUUAAACAGAAAGAGAUGCUUGCUUUGGGGCAUUUUAUCACAAAGAUAUAUGAGACAAAGAAAGACUGUGAGUGCACAGUGCUGUUUCACUGUCACGACUCACACACACACACACACACAUUCAAAGAGAAAGUGUGCAGCCAGAAUCCUUGCGCUUGUAUCUUGUGCUAAUAAAAGUUAUGAGUUCUGGUGGUGCAGGAGGACAAAGGCCAGCAUCACAGUACACCAUGCUUUAUGUAAUGUGUGUGUGCAUAUGUGUGUGCAUAUGUGUGAGGGGAGACAUCAUGCUGCCCUGCCCUGCCCUGCCCUGAAACAUGAACACACACACACACAGGACAGCAUGUGUACCACAGCACCAAGGGGUGAAUAUCAAAGGCUUUUUGCCAUUAACUUAAUACAGCAAUUAAUGAUGCAGUGACAUGUGGUUCUCUAGCUGCCACUCACUCACUGGCUGGGAUACAAAAUGACACAAAGCAUCCACUUGUUUCCAAAGCAAUAGGCUUUUUGUGUGCAGACUGAGAGCCAUGCACAGAAAUGGCCUAUAACCUGACCAGUGAAAACACAUGAACUGCACUAUUUCUUGUUAUUGAAUUGUUAUGUUUGUUUUAUGUCUGCAACCGUGUAACUGUGGUGCUGCC